UCCGUAGGUGAACCUGCGGAAGGAUCAUUACCGAGUUCAUGCCCUUCGGGGUAGAUCUCCCACCCUUUGUAUACUAUACCUUUGUUGCUUUGGCGGGCCGCCUAGCUACUGGCUUCGGCUGGUAAGUGCCCGCCAGAGAACCCAAAACCCUGAAUUAUUAGUGUCGUCUGAGUAAAAUAUUUAAUAUUUAAAACUUUCAACAACGGAUCUCUUGGCUCUGGCAUCGAUGAAGAACGCAGCGAAAUGCGAUAAGUAAUGUGAAUUGCAGAAUUCAGUGAAUCAUCGAAUCUUUGAACGCACAUUGCGCCCCUUGGUAUUCCGAGGGGCAUGCCUAUUCGAGCGUCAUUAUCACCCCUCAAGCCUAGCUUGGUGUUGAGACCUGCUGUCAAGGCAGUCUCUAAAAUCAGUGGCAGUGCUGUCAGGCUCUAAGCGUAGUAAAUUCAUCGCUAUAGACACCUGGUGGCCACUCGCCAGAACCCCCCCAUUUUUUAAUGAUUGACCUCGGAUUAGGUAGGGAUACCCGCUGAACUUAAGCAUAUCAAUAAGCGGGAGGA
RNAcentral lists this ribosomal RNA (554 nucleotides) under Tetracladium maxilliforme. RNAcentral describes it as "eukaryotic LSU rRNA". The stretch from base 192 to 345 matches the Rfam family "5.8S ribosomal RNA". The record is from RNAcentral. Lineage: Eukaryota; Fungi; Ascomycota; Leotiomycetes; Helotiales.